AGUGAACGCUGGCGGUAGGCCUAACACAUGCCAGUCGAACGGCAGCACAGUAAGAGCUUGCUCUUACGGGUGGCGAGUGGCGGACGGGUGAGGAAUACAUCGGAAUCUACUUUUUCGUGGGGGAUAACGUAGGGAAACUUACGCUAAUACCGCAUACGACCUACGGGUGAAAGCAGGGGAUCUUCGGACCUUGCGCGAUUGAAUGAGCCGAGGUCGGAUUAGCUAGUUGGCAGGGUAAAGGCCCACCAAGGCGACGAUCCGUAGCUGGUCUGAGAGGAUGAUCAGCCACACGGGAACGGAGACACGGUCCAGACCCCUAGGGGAGGCAGCAGUGGGAAACAUUGGACAAUGGGCGCAAGCCUGAUCCAGCCAUACCGCGUGGGUGAAGAAGGCCUCCGGGUGGUAAAGCCCUUUUGUUGGGAAAGAAAAGCAGCAGGUUAAUACCCCGCUGUUCUGACGGUACCCAAAGAAUAAGCACCGGCUAACUUCGU
Molecule: ribosomal RNA, 491 nt
Filed under: uncultured bacterium
Lineage: Bacteria
Description: partial 16S ribosomal RNA
Rfam family: Bacterial small subunit ribosomal RNA
Source: RNAcentral